Molecule: long non-coding RNA, 1773 nt
Filed under: Olea europaea subsp. europaea
Lineage: Eukaryota; Viridiplantae; Streptophyta; Magnoliopsida; Lamiales; Oleaceae
Source: RNAcentral
CUUGGAUCAUUAUUCAGGUACGUUUUUUUUACAUGAUCUUUUAGUUUGUAGCCUCACACAUAAAUUCUCACUCUAACUUUAGUAUCGAAAGGGUGACGAGAACACACCUAAACACCUUUGAUUCAGAUACUGAAAGAUCUCUUUCGUGCUCAUUCUUAGUCAUUAAGCUCAAAAAUCAACAAGUACGACUCUGUAGCAUCAGCCGCCGUGUUCACCCUAAAAUCCCCUUUAACUCCACGGAGGCUUUAUAAUCCCCGUCUGAACAGCCCUAGUUUUGUUCUCCUUAACAAAGUAGAGAGAAUACAAAAACGUCAAAGCAUUCUUUUACCUCAAAAAUCCCCUAUCUACUGCAAAUUCACCAACGACAAAAUCGCUCCAAACCUGCCAAUUGCGAUUUUAUUCUCUUCGAUCUAGGAGAGUCGAAGUAAAGCGUAAGCUGUGUCCUCGCUCACUUUUUUCACACAAAACCACACUUCCAUUUGUACGAAUAUUAAUCUCAAUGAACAAAUUAUAAAGUCUUCUUUUCAUCAAAACCUAAUUUGAUUUUAAAGCUUUCGUUGUCUAGUAACUGGUUGAACAAACUAAAAAAAGAGUUAACAAAAUCAAAUGUAAAACUAACCUAUGAAACUUUUAUAUACAUUUUGAAGAAAUUGGACAAAGACCCAAAAAAAGCUUCAAAAUUUUUCAAAUGAUUUGUUGAGAAAAAUGGGUUUGAACCCAAUUCUUCUAUAUAUAGCUUGAUGUUAAGAAUUUAUGCUGAGAAGGAUUUAACAACGAAACUUUAGGACACAUCUAUAAUUUUAGGGCUGGUUGGUGUUGGGCCAUUGCUGACAAGAGGCAAAUUUAGGUUCAAGCAGGGAACAAUUUUGUGUAACGGCUUCAUCUGAAAAAACAGCUAUGCUGCCAACCCUUUAGCAGUAUGGUUUUUGCAAAUCUGGGUUUGAUAUCACCUAAUUUUUUUGACAAAAAGCAUGAAUUUUUCCAACAAAGUUCGAACCUUUUUGUCGGCAUCGAUUACACAUUUGGAAAUAUCUUCAAUUUGCAAUUUUUGUCUUGUUGAUGCUUUAUUUCCAACACCCACGUGUUUCCACCCACGAUGAGGAGAGCAGAGGACGAGGAUAAUGGGUGAAUGUUGUAAGAAAUGAGAGAAAUUUCUGCAAGAAGAAAGGGCUUCAAUAGGAAAGAUGAUCCGUUUGGCGUUAGGGAUGAAUGGGCUAUAUUUUGUAGGACAAUAUUACCCUUCCUUUUUUAAAAGAAAGUUGCAUACAUGGGUUCAUUUAAUGGAAUAAUUGAUAGGAAAUGGACCGAAUGAAAAUUUACGCAACAAAAGGUGUAAAUAAGGACGAAAAUGUCAAAAAAUAAAAAAUAUGAACGUCUUACACAAUCAUAAUGAAAUAUAAGAAUGUUUUGCACUAAUUACCCUUCUGAAAAUAUAUAUUUUGGUCACAAGUGCUGGAUUUAGAAGAGGAAAUAUGAUACAACAAUCCUAUAUGUUAACAAGUUUAGCUGUGUUUCAAAUCAACUUAAAUAAGAUACAAUGAAGAAAAACAAAUGAAAUGUGAAUAUAUUGUCAUUUAUGUUUAAGAUUAGCUUUUCGAAUAGUGAAAUAUGUUCUUAUAGCAUAAGUUGACCUCCAAAUUUUGAUAGGACAUGCUUACACGCAAUGCACGCAUUAAACGUUCAAGACUGAAACAUCUCCAAACAAAGGUAGGGAGGCUUUGAUCAUGCGACUUUCAAUGCUCAAGUCUAAAAGGGGAUAAUGAAGUAUAUUCG